UAGGGAAUUUUGGGCAAUGGGCGAAAGCCUGACCCAGCAACGCCGCGUGAAGGAUGAAGUAUUUCGGUAUGUAAACUUCGAAAGAAUAGGAAGAAUAAAUGACGGUACUAUUUAUAAGGUCCGGCUAACUACGUGCCAGCAGCCGCGGUAAUACGUAGGGACCAAGCGUUGUUUGGAUUUACUGGGCGUAAAGGGCGCGUAGGCGGCAUGACAAGUCACUUGUGAAAUCUCUGGGCUUAACCCAGAACGGCCAAGUGAUACUGUCGCGCUAGAGUGCAGAAGGGGCAAUCGGAAUUCUUGGUGUAGCGGUGAAAUGCGUAGAUAUCAAGAGGAACACCUGAGGUGAAGACGGGUUGCUGGGCUGACACUGACGCUGAGGCGCGAAAGCCAGGGGAGCAAACGGGAUUAGAUACCCUAGUAGUCCCUGAGCGGGCUGGCAAGGCGCAU
RNAcentral lists this ribosomal RNA (447 nucleotides) under uncultured bacterium. RNAcentral describes it as "bacterial SSU rRNA". It matches the Rfam family "Bacterial small subunit ribosomal RNA", at positions 355 to 825 of the family's 1533-position model. The record is from RNAcentral.